CGUGUAGGCGGUUGAGUAAGUCAGAUGUGAAAGCCUUCCGCUUAACGGAAGAAGUGCAUUUGAAACUGCUCGGCUGGAGUACGGGAGAGGAGAGUGGAAUUCCCGGUGUAGAGGUGAAAUUCGUAGAUAUCGGGAGGAACACCAGUGGCGAAGGCGGCUCUCUGGUCCGAUACUGACGCUGAGACGCGAAAGCGUGGGGAGCAAACAGGAUUAGAUACCCUGGUAGUCCACGCCGUAAACGAUGGGCACUAGGUGUAGGAGGUAUUGACCCCUUCUGUGCCGAAGCUAACGCAUUAAGUGCCCCGCCUGGGGAGUACGGCCGCAAGGCUAAA
This 332-nucleotide ribosomal RNA is filed under the name uncultured bacterium. Its description in RNAcentral is "bacterial SSU rRNA". It matches the Rfam family "Bacterial small subunit ribosomal RNA", at positions 568 to 898 of the family's 1533-position model. The record is from RNAcentral.